UACGGGAGGCAGCAGUGGGGAAUAUUGCACAAUGGGCGCAAGCCUGAUGCAGCCAUGCCGCGUGUAUGAAAAAGGCCUUCGGGUUGUAAAGUACUUUCAGUCGUGAGGAAGGUGUUAAGGUUAAUAACCUUAGCAAUUGACGUUAGCGACAGAAGAAGCACCGGCUAACUCCGUGCCAGCAGCCGCGGUAAUACGGAGGGUGCGAGCGUUAAUCGGAAUUACUGGGCUAAAGGGCACGCAGGCGGUUAAUUAAGUUGGAUGUGAAAUCCCCGGGCUUAACCUGGGAAUGGCAUUCAAGACUGGUUAGCUAGAGUCUUGUAGAGGGGGUAGAAUUCCAUGUGUAGCGGUGAAAUGCGUAGAGAUGUGGAGGAAUACCGGUGGCGAAGGCGGCCCCUGGACAAAGACUGACGCUCAUGUGCGAAAGCGUGGGGAGCAAACGAGGGAUUUAGAUACCCGU
Molecule: ribosomal RNA, 457 nt
Filed under: uncultured bacterium
Lineage: Bacteria
Description: bacterial SSU rRNA
Rfam family: Bacterial small subunit ribosomal RNA
Source: RNAcentral